GAGAGGUGGCAGAGUGGUUGAAUGCACCGGUCUUGAAAACCGACAAGCCUUCGCGGGCUUCGAGGGUUCGAAUCCCUCCCUCUCC
Molecule: transfer RNA, 85 nt
Filed under: marine eukaryotic metagenome
Rfam family: tRNA
About the family: Transfer RNA (tRNA) molecules are approximately 80 nucleotides in length. Their secondary structure includes four short double-helical elements and three loops (D, anti-codon, and T loops). Further hydrogen bonds mediate the characteristic L-shaped molecular structure. tRNAs have two regions of fundamental functional importance: the anti-codon, which is responsible for specific mRNA codon recognition, and the 3' end, to which the tRNAs corresponding amino acid is attached (by aminoacyl-tRNA synthetases). tRNAs cope with the degeneracy of the genetic code in two manners: having more than one tRNA (with a specific anti-codon) for a particular amino acid; and 'wobble' base-pairing, i.e. permitting non-standard base-pairing at the 3rd anti-codon position.
Source: RNAcentral